RNAcentral lists this ribosomal RNA (510 nucleotides) under uncultured bacterium. RNAcentral describes it as "bacterial SSU rRNA". It matches the Rfam family "Bacterial small subunit ribosomal RNA", at positions 36 to 507 of the family's 1533-position model. The record is from RNAcentral.
CUGGCGGCGUGCCUAAUACAUGCAAGUCGAACGCACUCUCGUUAGAUUGAAGAAGCUUGCUUCUGAUUGAUAACAUUUGAGUGAGUGGCGGACGGGUGAGUAACACGUGGGUAACCUGCCCUAAAGUGGGGGAUAACAUUUGGAAACAGAUGCUAAUACCGCAUAAAACCUAGCACCGCAUGGUGCAAGGUUGAAAGAUGGUUUCGGCUAUCACUUUAGGAUGGACCCGCGGUGCAUUAGUUAGUUGGUGAGGUAAAGGCUCACCAAGACCGUGAUGCAUAGCCGACCUGAGAGGGUAAUCGGCCACACUGGGACUGAGACACGGCCCAGACUCCUACGGGAGGCAGCAGUAGGGAAUCUUCCACAAUGGACGAAAGUCUGAUGGAGCAACGCCGCGUGAGUGAAGAAGGUUUUCGGAUCGUAAAACUCUGUUGUUGGAGAAGAACGUAUUUGAUAGUAACUGAUCAGGUAGUGACGGUAUCCAACCAGAAAGCCACGGCUAACUACGUG